Long non-coding RNA from Sarcophilus harrisii (Tasmanian devil), 653 nucleotides. RefSeq lists it as uncharacterized. The transcript is spliced from 3 exons. NCBI's taxonomy places the organism in Eukaryota, Metazoa, Chordata, Mammalia, Dasyuromorphia, Dasyuridae. The record is from RefSeq and is a predicted model, not a curated record.
UCUUACACUGCUGCAGGCUCUUUUGUGCUGGGGGCUCUGGGUCUUCCUAUUAGUUUCCACUGGACUUCAGGGUCUGGUUGCUUACUUUCCCUAGGGGAUAAGCUUCCCUUUUAACUUGUUCUGGGAAGUGGGGUUUCCCCACUGACCUCUUCUAGGUAUAUGAUUUAGCUGCUGACCUGCUCCAGGGGUGGGAUCUUGCUGCUGGCUUCCUACAUUAAGGUUUUCUGGUGACUGACCAUAGAGAGAUCUGUGGGACCCUGUUCCUGGGUUGCUAUAGAAACAGGAUCUCUGCUGGUAGGCCCCAGAGGUGGAAUCCUGCUGUUUGACACCUCCAGGGCAGGGCUUCUUUACUGAUCAGCAGUGGGGUUCCCCUCCAAGGUAACCAGAGACUCCUUGGCUGACCUUGUCCCUCGCAUCAUGGAAAGCAAUGAAAAAGGAUAUACAGAAAGAUGCAGAGUCAGUCAGUGAACAAGCAUCAUUGGUCAAUAGUAUUGGAUGUUGUAAUAAAGUCAAGUGAUUUCUGAACUGCUUGAAGAACUACUAGUGAAAUAACUAAAAGGCAUAUGUCAACAUGGAAGAAGCAAGCAAUAUACAAAUGAAACGGACAUUAUGUGCAACCAACAAAUUCUUAAAACAAAGAAAUAAACAUAUGA